RNAcentral lists this transfer-messenger RNA (352 nucleotides) under Oscillospiraceae. RNAcentral describes it as "Avoscillospira sp945864925 Standard tmRNA". It matches the Rfam family "transfer-messenger RNA". From Rfam's summary of the family: Bacterial tmRNA, also known as 10Sa RNA or SsrA, is named for its dual tRNA and mRNA-like properties. Its role is to liberate the mRNA from a stalled ribosome. RNAcentral also lists the same sequence under 1 other name. The record is from RNAcentral. Lineage: Bacteria; Bacillati; Bacillota; Clostridia; Eubacteriales.
GGGGCUGCACUGGUUUCGACGGGGAUAGUGAGGCUGGAUAAGCGGGCAGAGGCGCCUGACCUCUAUAAAAUGGGCAACUUUUUUAAAUUAACUGACAACGAUAACUUCGUUCUGGCUGCUGCUUAAUUAGCGGCCCAUCCUCCCCGGAAGGACCACGAGCCGGGCUAGGGUGUGAUUUGAGUGGUGACCGUGCGUGCGGUAAGCUUUGCCCGUACCAUGAAUCAUGAAGCUACCAAGUCAUGGAGUGUGUUUGUUCACGCCAUGGCAAGGGAAUGUAAAUAACAAACUGCGCCCGGAGAAAGUCUUGUCAAGUUAUUUUCGGACAGGGGUUCGAUUCCCCUCAGCUCCACCA